AACUGAGAUACAUCGCAAUCG
This 21-nucleotide microRNA is filed under the name Physcomitrium patens. RNAcentral describes it as "ppt-miR899". Its record names the gene ppt-miR899. Lineage: Eukaryota; Viridiplantae; Streptophyta; Bryopsida; Funariales; Funariaceae. The record is from miRBase by way of RNAcentral.